Molecule: ribosomal RNA, 497 nt
Filed under: uncultured bacterium
Lineage: Bacteria
Description: partial 16S ribosomal RNA
Rfam family: Bacterial small subunit ribosomal RNA
Source: RNAcentral
GAUGAACGCUGGCGGCGUGCCUAAUACAUGCAAGUCGAGCGAACAGACGAGGAGCUUACUCCUCUGACGUUAGCGGCGGACGGGUGAGUAACACGUGGAUAAACUACCUAUAAGACUGGGAUAACUUCGGGAAACCGGAGCUAAUACCGGAUAAUAUAUUGAACCGCAUGGUUCAAUAGUGAAAGACGGUUUUGCUGUCACUUAUAGAUGGAUCCGCGCCGCAUUAGCUAGUUGGUAAGGUAACGGCUUACCAAGGCAACGAUGCGUAGCCGACCUGAGAGGGUGAUCGGCCACACUGGAACUGAGACACGGUCCAGACUCCUACGGGAGGCAGCAGUAGGGAAUCUUCCGCAAUGGGCGAAAGCUUGACGGAGCAACGCCGCGUGAGUGAUGAAGGUCUUCGGAUCGUAAAACUCUGUUAUUAGGGAAGAACAAAUGUGUAAGUAACUAUGCACGUCUUGACGGUACCUAAUCAGAAAGCCACGGCUAACUACGUG